Saccostrea cuccullata (small rock oyster) is the source of this 693-nucleotide long non-coding RNA. RefSeq lists it as uncharacterized. The record is from RefSeq and is a predicted model, not a curated record. Lineage: Eukaryota; Metazoa; Mollusca; Bivalvia; Ostreida; Ostreidae. The transcript has 4 exons.
GAUAAUGGCUGUUGACAUGAUGAUGCAAGCUCGCCAGGCCCAGUGUUUUAAACCAAUGUUAAGCUUGGUUUAGCCACUGCAGUAUACAGGUAUAAGGAGAGAAGCAGACCAGAAACCUUUGGCUAAAGUAAAGAUGAUAUGCAUAACAAAAGCAGUUGAAUAAUUCACAAGAGUCCAAAGUUUUGAUGACCAUACAGAGCUCAGAGAUGUUGUAACAAAGACAUGCCUGCAUUAAGAGAACUGUUCACUCAAUUUUCAGAAUAACUUGUCGCAUUGAAAUCCAUCUUAUGUUGGACUAAACAAUCAGGACAUCCUUCUGGAUCACAGGUAGCACAAAGUAUUGACAAAACCAAAGAUUACCUGGUAGUCUGCAAAUGGAGUGAUCAUUGGAUGAGCCAGACAACACCAUUUCCUCGGAAAUUUUAGAAAAGAGACAAUCUCCAUCUUCAGUCAUAGAUGACUGAUGUCGACAUUUUCUCACUUCUGUUUCAUGUCUUUUCUACAGCAUGGACUCCAGCAUCAGUGGGCGCUUGACUUUUAUAGACAUUUAUUCUUCUGAUUUUGAUCUAAUAUCCUUAAAUAUAGUACAAACAAUUCAUUUAUCUUUUAAAAUAUUUUUAAAUUUUACUUAAUAAAACAAUGAAAACAGUUCAAACAAACUGGUUAUCCUAUAAUCUAAAACUGUUUUAUGUU